This 1207-nucleotide long non-coding RNA is filed under the name Piliocolobus tephrosceles (Ugandan red Colobus). RNAcentral's name for it is "lncRNA (ENSPTEG00000001322.1)". Lineage: Eukaryota; Metazoa; Chordata; Mammalia; Primates; Cercopithecidae. The record is from RNAcentral.
AUUUAUUUUACGGUCUGUUUGUGCGUACGUGAGUGGGGAGCAUGAACAAGCAAAUAGUUUUUUCCAUAUGAUAUACAAAAAUGUAUUAUAUUUACUUAAUAAAAAUUAUAUGUAUGAACAAACUUUAAGUUACAAAUUAAGAGAGCAACAAAAUAACAACUUUACUAAUAAUAAUAAAAAUGAAAUCGAAAAUAGAAAUCCCAAAUUUAUACAAAAUAAGUUUUCAAAUGAAAUGGAUAACUAUUUGUUAGAUAUAAAAAAAAACAAAACAACGGAUCUGCAAACAGUUAGUGAGUUAAUAAAACUUUUUAACUAUUUAAUGAUAAAGAUUGACACAGUGUAUUAUUUAUAUUUAAAUAAUGGCAUAGAACAGUUUAAUAUAGAAACCAUAAUAAAUAUGAUGAAAAGCUUUGUUUUUGUUUAUAAUAUAAAGAAUGAAUUGAACAAGAAUUAUGACAAUGGCGGCGUUAGUAGUAGUGGCAGUAGUAGUAGUAGUAGUAGUAGUAGGAGCAGUAGUAGUAGGAGCUUACACACAAAUAAACAAAACGCAACAACUUUAGAUAGUAAUAUAAACAACCUGAUAAACAUUGUUACCCAAAUAGUAACAACAAGUACAUUAUAUAAUGUAUACAGUAUGUGUACUAUAAAACAAUUAAGUACUGUUGUUUAUUAUUUACAUCAAAUAGGCAAUGUUUUUCAUGAUGAAGCAAAAGAGUUGCUACAGAUAGAGGAAUUACAAAAACAUAUUAACGACAUAGUUAUUGUACAUUUAAAAAGUAUAUUGAAAGAAAAUGAAGAUACAAUAAAAAGUUUUAACAGAGCUGGAAGAAUCGUUCAACUUGGUGGACUUGGACAGGCAGAAAAUAAUUUGGCUAACCAUAAGAUCGGUAACAAUCGAGUUGAUAACUCAACGAUUAAUACGCUUAACAACAACUCAAUCGAAAGUAACAAAGAUAGUGAAAAGGCAACACAUCCGUUUACUAAUAAAAGCAGUAAUACAUUAAUGGACACUAUUAGUCUAAACAGAAAUCGAAACGAACGGGUUGAAGAAUAUGAAAAAAAAAAAAAAAAAAAAAAAAAUGAUGAUGAUAAUGAUGAUGGUGAUGAUGGUGAAUAUUUUAUUUUAUUAUUGAAUAUAUACAGCAAAAAAGGAGAUAAAAAGAACAUACUCUUGAUGUUACUAAAAAUAAUGAAUAUAAAAAAAAUA